UACGUAGGGGGCUAGCGUUGUCCGGAAUCAUUGGGCGUAAAGAGCGUGUAGGCGGCCCGGUAAGUCCGCUGUGAAAGUCGGGGGCUCAACCCUCGAAUGCCGGUGGAUACUGUCGGGCUAGAGUGCGGAAGAGGCGAGUGGAAUUCCUGGUGUAGCGGUGAAAUGCGCAGAUAUCAGGAGGAACACCGAUUGCGAAGGCAGCUCGCUGGGACGUCACUGACG
RNAcentral lists this ribosomal RNA (222 nucleotides) under uncultured bacterium. Its description in RNAcentral is "partial 16S ribosomal RNA". It matches the Rfam family "Bacterial small subunit ribosomal RNA", at positions 524 to 745 of the family's 1533-position model. The record is from RNAcentral.